CGGGGUGAGUAAUGUCUGGGAAACUGCCUGAUGGAGGGGGGUAACUACUGGAAACGGUAGCUAAUACCGCAUAACGUCGCAAGACCAAAGAAGGGGACCUUCGGGCCUCUUGCCAUCGGAUGUGCCCAGAUGGGAUUAGCUAGUAGGUGGGGUAAUGGCUCACCUAGGCGACGAUCCCUAGCUGGUCUGAGAGGAUGACCAGCCACACUGGAACUGAGACACGGUCCAG
This 229-nucleotide ribosomal RNA is filed under the name uncultured bacterium. Its description in RNAcentral is "partial 16S ribosomal RNA". It matches the Rfam family "Bacterial small subunit ribosomal RNA", at positions 104 to 334 of the family's 1533-position model. The record is from RNAcentral.